GAAAGACAAAGGAAAACCAAUCAGAAAAUUAGUUGAAAAGACAGCCCACAUAAGAUCUUUUUCAUCCUUUGUCUCGUCUUUAUUCCGCUUGCCCUCUCUUAUUUCUUCCUGGAAACUGUCAAUCUUCGUUUUGACCAAAAAAAC
This 144-nucleotide non-coding RNA is filed under the name Heterosigma akashiwo. The record is from RNAcentral. Lineage: Eukaryota; Raphidophyceae; Chattonellales; Chattonellaceae.